This 497-nucleotide ribosomal RNA is filed under the name uncultured bacterium. Its description in RNAcentral is "partial 16S ribosomal RNA". It matches the Rfam family "Bacterial small subunit ribosomal RNA", at positions 28 to 507 of the family's 1533-position model. The record is from RNAcentral.
GAUGAACGCUGGCGGCGUGCCUAAUACAUGCAAGUCGAGCGAACAGACGAGGAGCUUGCUCCUCUGACGUUAGCGGCGGACGGGUGAGUAACACGUGGAUAACCUACCUAUAAGACUGGGAUAACUUCGGGAAACCGGAGCUAAUACCGGAUAAUAUAUUGAACCGCAUGGUUCAAUAGUGAAAGACGGUUUUGCUGUCACUUAUAGAUGGAUCCGCGCCGCAUUAGCUAGUUGGUAAGGUAACGGCUUACCAAGGCGACGAUGCGUAGCCGACCUGAGAGGGUGAUCGGCCACACUGGAACUGAGACACGGUCCAGACUCCUACGGGAGGCAGCAGUAGGGAAUCUUCCGCAAUGGGCGAAAGCCUGACGGAGCAACGCCGCGUGAGUGAUGAAGGUCUUCGGAUCGUAAAACUCUGUUAUUAGGGAAGAACAAAUGUGUAAGUAACUAUGCACGUCUUGACGGUACCCAAUCAGAAAGCCACGGCUAACUACGUG